AUUGAACGCUGGCGGCAGGCUUAACACAUGCAAGUCGAGCGAGCGGCGGACGGGUGAGUAAUGUCUGGGACACUGCCUGGGGGAGGGGGAUAACUUCUGGAAACGGUAGCUAAUACCGCAUAAUAUCAGGUGUCCCGAUAUGGGAUUAGCUAGUAGGUGGGGUAAUGGCUCACCUAGGCGACGAUCCCUAGCUGGUCUGAGAGGAUGACCAGCCACACUGGAACUGAGACACGGUCCAGACUCCUACGGGAGGCAGCAGUGGGGAAUAUUGCACAAUGGGCGCAAGCCUGAUGCAGCCAUGCCGCGUGUGUGAAGAAGGCCUUCGGGUUGUAAAGCACUUUCAGCGGGGAGGCGUUACUCGCAGAAGAAGCACCGGCUAACUCCGUGCCAGCAGCCGCGGUAAUUC
This 406-nucleotide ribosomal RNA is filed under the name uncultured bacterium. Its description in RNAcentral is "partial 16S ribosomal RNA". It matches the Rfam family "Bacterial small subunit ribosomal RNA", at positions 30 to 526 of the family's 1533-position model. The record is from RNAcentral.